This 214-nucleotide ribosomal RNA is filed under the name Neospintharus trigonum. Its description in RNAcentral is "partial 16S ribosomal RNA". The stretch from base 1 to 122 matches the Rfam family "Archaeal large subunit ribosomal RNA", at positions 2590 to 2712 of the family's 2987-position model. The record is from RNAcentral. Lineage: Eukaryota; Metazoa; Arthropoda; Arachnida; Araneae; Theridiidae.
CGACCUCGAUGUUGAAUUAAAUUAUCUAUAUUUCGCAAUAGAAAUAUAAGUGGGUCUGUUCGACCUAUAAAAAUUUACAUGAUUUGAGUUCAAACCGGUGUAAGCCAGGUUGGUUUCUAUCUUUUUUUAAUUAUUUUCUAGUACGAAAGGACAAAAAAUAUUAUUAAUAAUAUUUAUUUGGCAGAUAAUUGCAUUAGAAUUAGAAUCUAAUCAC